AUCCCCUAAUACAAGUUUGGAUUGACUUGGCGUAAUAGACUAUUCGCUAAGGAUUCGGUGGAAACAUCGAGCCCAGCUGUAUUAAGGAAGCUCCUAAUUUAAAAGUCUACCUUUUGAUUAGAUCUCAAAUCAGGCAGGAUUACCCGCUGAACUUAAGCAUAUCAAUAAGCGGAGGAAAAGAAACUAACAAGGAUUCCCCUAGUAGCGGCGAGCGAAGCGGGAAAAGCUCAAAUUUGUAAUCUGGCGCCUUCGGCGUCCGAGUUGUAAUCUCGAGAAGUGUUUUCCGUGAUAGACCGCAUACAAGUCUCUUGGAACAGAGCGUCAUAGUGGUGAGAACCCAGUACACGAUGCGGAUGCCUAUUACUUUGUGAUACACUUUCGAAGAGUCGAGUUGUUUGGGAAUGCAGCUCAAAUUGGGUGGUAAAUUCCAUCUAAAGCUAAAUAUUGGCGAGAGACCGAUAGCGAACAAGUACCGUGAGGGAAAGAUGAAAAGCACUUUGGAAAGAGAGUUAACAGUACGUGAAAUUGUUGGAAGGGAAACACAUGCAGUGAUACUUGCUAUUCGGGGCAACUCGAUUGGCAGGCCCGCAUCAGUUUUUCGGGGCGGAAAAUCAUAGAGAGAAGGUAGCAGUCUCGGCUGUGUUAUAGCUCUUUAUUGGAUUCGCCCUGGGGGACUGAGGAACGCAGCGUGCUUUUUGCAUGA
RNAcentral lists this ribosomal RNA (703 nucleotides) under Sporobolomyces carnicolor. Its description in RNAcentral is "eukaryotic LSU rRNA". The stretch from base 120 to 703 matches the Rfam family "Eukaryotic large subunit ribosomal RNA", at positions 1 to 614 of the family's 3401-position model. Lineage: Eukaryota; Fungi; Basidiomycota; Microbotryomycetes; Sporidiobolales; Sporidiobolaceae. The record is from RNAcentral.